This 467-nucleotide ribosomal RNA is filed under the name uncultured bacterium. RNAcentral describes it as "bacterial SSU rRNA". It matches the Rfam family "Bacterial small subunit ribosomal RNA", at positions 329 to 796 of the family's 1533-position model. The record is from RNAcentral.
GACCAGACUCCUACGGGAGGCAGCAGUGAGGAAUAUUGGUCAAUGGGCGCGAGCCUGAACCAGCCAAGCCGCGUGAAGGAAUAAGGCCCUACGGGUCGUAAACUUCUUUAGUCAGGGAACAAAGGGUGCCACGCGUGGCGCUGUGAGUGUACCUGAAGAAUAAGCAUCGGCUAACUCCGUGCCAGCAGCCGCGGUAAUACGGAGGAUGCGAGCGUUAUCCGGAUUUAUUGGGUUUAAAGGGUGCGUAGGCGGAAUGCCAAGUCAGCGGUAAAAUCGCGGGGCUCAACCUCGCUCCGCCGUUGAAACUGGCGUUCUUGAGUGGGCGAGAAGUAUGCGGAAUGCGUGGUGUAGCGGUGAAAUGCAUAGAUAUCACGCAGAACUCCGAUUGCGAAGGCAGCAUACCGGCGCCCAACUGACGCUGAAGCACGAAAGCGUGGGUAUCGAACAGGAUUAGAUACCCGAGUACC